UACGGAGGGUGCGAGCGUUAAUCGGAAUUACUGGGCGUAAAGCGCACGUAGGCGGUUGGGUGAGUCGGAUGUGAAAGCCCUGGGCUUAACCUGGGAACUGCAUUCGAUACUGCUCGGCUAGAGUAUGGGAGAGGGAAGCGGAAUUUCCGGUGUAGCGGUGAAAUGCGUAGAUAUCGGAAGGAACACCAAUGGCGAAGGCAGCUUCCUGGCCCAAUACUGACGCUCAGGUGCGAAAGCGUGGGGAUCAAACAGG
This 253-nucleotide ribosomal RNA is filed under the name uncultured bacterium. RNAcentral describes it as "partial 16S ribosomal RNA". It matches the Rfam family "Bacterial small subunit ribosomal RNA", at positions 524 to 776 of the family's 1533-position model. The record is from RNAcentral.